AUUGAACGCUGGCGGCAGGCCUAACACAUGCAUGUCGAGCGGCAGCGGAAGGAAGCUUGCUUUCUUGCCGGCGAGCGGCGGACGGGUGAGUAAGGUAUGGGGAUCUGGCCGAAGGCGGGGGAUAACCACUGGAAACGGUGGCUAAUACCGCAUAAUCUCUAAGGUGCAAAGUGGGGGACCGUUCAGGCCUCACACCUUCGGAUGAACCCAUAUGAGAUUAGCUAGUAGGUGGGGUAAUGGCUCACCUAGGCGACGAUCUCUAGCUGGUCUGAGAGGAUGAUCAGCCACACUGGGACUGAGACACGGCCCAGACUCCUACGGGAGGCAGCAGUGGGGAAUAUUGCACAAUGGGCGCAAGCCUGAUGCAGCCAUGCCGCGUGUAUGAAGAAGGCCUUCGGGUUGUAAAGUACUUUCAGUCGUGAGGAAGGUGUUAAGGUUAAUAACCUUAGCAAUUGACGUUAGCGACAGAAGAAGCACCGGCUAACUCCGUGCCAGCCGCCGCAGUAA
This 507-nucleotide ribosomal RNA is filed under the name uncultured bacterium. RNAcentral's name for it is "partial 16S ribosomal RNA". It matches the Rfam family "Bacterial small subunit ribosomal RNA", at positions 30 to 523 of the family's 1533-position model. The record is from RNAcentral.